AUGGCUAAGAUCCAGGAGAGGAAGACGAGGGAUAUUGGCCAAGUCAAAUGCAUCAAGGACGGAGCAGGCCAACUCUUGGUGAAGGACGAAGAGAUUAAGCAUAGAUGGCGGGAGUACUUCGACAAGCUGUUCAAUGGGGAGAAUGAGAGUUCUACCAUUAAACUGAAUGACUCCUUUGAUGAGACCAGCAUGCGUUUUGUGCGGCGCAUCCAGGAGUCUGAGGUGAAGGAGGCUUUAAAAAGGAUGAAAGGAGGCAAGGCGAUGGUCCCUGAUUGUAUCCCCAUUGAGGUGUGGAAAGGUCUCGGGGACAUAGCGAUAGUAUGGCUAACCAAGCUUUUCAACCUCAUUUUUCGGGCAAACAAGAUGCCAGAAGAAUGGAGACGGAGUAUAUUAGUACCAAUCUUCAAGAACAAGGGAGAUGUUCAGAGUUGUACUAAUUACCGUGGAAUUAAGCUGAUGAACCGUACAAUGAAGCUAUGGGAGAGAGUCAUUGAGCACCGCUUAAGAAGAAUGACAAGCGUGACCAAAAAUCAGUUUGGUUUCAUGCCUGGGAGGUCGACCAUGGAAGCCAUUUUCUUGGUACGACAACUUAUGGAGAGAUAUAGGGAGCAUAAGAAGGACUUGCAUAUGGUGUUCAUUGACUUGGAGAAGGCCUAUGAUAAGAUACCGCGGAAUGUCAUGUGGUGGACCUUGGAGAAACACAAAGUCCCAGCAAAGUACAUUACCCUCAUCAAGGACAUGUACAAUAAUGUUGUGACAAGUGUUCGAACAAGUGAUGUCGACACCGAUGACUUCCCGAUUAAGAUAGGACUGCAUCAGGGGUCAGCUUUGAGCCCUUAUCUUUUUGCAUUGGUGAUGGAUGAGGUCACAAGGGGUAUACAAGGAGAUAUCCCAUGGUGUAUGCUCUUUGCAGAUGAUGUGGUGCUAGUUGACGAUAGUCGGACGGGGGUAAAUAGGAAGUUAGAGUUAUGGAGACAAACCUUGGAAUCGAAAGGGUUUAGGCUUAGUAGAACUAAAACCGAGUACAUGAUGUGCGGUUUCAGUACUACUAGUUGUGAGGAGGAGGAGGUUAGCCUUGAUGGCCAGGUGGUACCUCGGAAGGACACCUUUCGAUAUUUGGGGUCAAUGUUGCAGGAGGAUGGGGGUAUUGAUGAAGAUGUGAACCAUUGA
RNAcentral lists this ribosomal RNA (1170 nucleotides) under Triticum aestivum (bread wheat). RNAcentral's name for it is "partial small subunit ribosomal RNA". The record is from RNAcentral. Lineage: Eukaryota; Viridiplantae; Streptophyta; Magnoliopsida; Poales; Poaceae.